RNAcentral lists this ribosomal RNA (1484 nucleotides) under uncultured Bordetella sp. RNAcentral describes it as "partial 16S-23S ribosomal RNA intergenic spacer". It matches the Rfam family "Bacterial small subunit ribosomal RNA". Lineage: Bacteria; Pseudomonadati; Pseudomonadota; Betaproteobacteria; Burkholderiales; Alcaligenaceae. The record is from RNAcentral.
GGUUGAUCAUGGCUCAGAUUGAACGCUGGCAGGAUGCUUUACACCACAAGUCGAACGGCAGCACGGACUUCGGUCUGGUGGCAGUGGCGAACGGGUGAGUAAUGUAUCGGAACGUGCCUAGUAGCGGCGGGGGGAUAACUACGCGAAAGCGUAGCUAAUACCGCAUACGCCCUUCGAAGGGGAAAGCGGGGACCUUCAGGCCUCGCACUAUUAGAGCGGCCGAUAUCGGAUUAGCUAGUUGGUGGUAACGGCUCACCAAGGCGACGAUCCGUAGCUGGUUUGAGAGACGACCAGCCACACUGGGACUGAGACACGGCCCAGACUCCUACAGGGAGGCAGCAGUGGGGAAUUUUGGACAAUGGGAAACCUGAUCCAGCGGCGCAUCGCGUGCGAUGAAGGCCUUCGGGUUGUAAAGCACUUUUUGGCAGGAAAGAAACGGCACCUUAAUGCCCGUGCAACUGACAAUGCCUGCAGAAUAUUAAGCACCGGCUAACUACGUGCCAGCAACCGCGGUAAUACCGUAGGGUGCAAGCGUUAAUCGGAAUUACUGGGUAAAGCGUGCGCAGGCGGUUCGGAGGAAGAAAGAUGCUUGAAAUCCCAGAGCUUAACUUUGGAACUGCAUUUUUAACUACCGAGCUAGAGUGUGUCAGAGGGAGGAGGUGGAAUUCCGCGUGCUGGCAGUGAAAUGCGUGAUAUGCGGAGGAACACACACACACCGAUAGCGAAAACUCCUGGGAUAACACUGACGCUCAUGCACGAAAGCGUGGGAGCAAACAGGAUUAGAUACCCUGGUAGUCCACGCCUAAACGAUAGUCAACUAGCUGUUGAAGGCCUUCGGGCCUUGGUAGCGCAGCUAACGCGUGAGGACCGCCUGGGGAGUACGUUCGCAAGAUUAAAACUCAAAGGAAUUGACGGGGAUUCAAGCGGUGGAUGAUGUGGAUUAAUUCGAUGCAACGUAAAACCUUACCUACCCUUGACAUGUCUGGAAUCCCGAAAGGGAGAUUUGGGAGUGCUCGCAAGAGAACCGGAACACAGGUGCUGCAUGCUGUCGUCAGCUCAUUGUCGUGAGAUGUUGGGUUAAGUCCGCAACGAGCGCAACCCUUGUCAUUAGUUGCUACGAAAGGGCACUCCUAAUGAGACUGCCGGUGACAAACCGGAGGAAGGUGGGGAUGACGUCAGGGUCCUCGGCCCUUAUGGGUAGGGCUUCACACGUCAUACAAUGGUCGGGACAGAGGGUCGCCAGCCCGAGGGGGAGCCAAUCCCAGAAACCCGAUCGUAGUCAGGUCUCUGCAGUCUGCAACUCGACUGCGUGAAGUCCGGAAUCGCCUUCUAAUAUUGCGGAUCAGCAUGUCACGGUGAAUACGUUCCCGGGUCUUGUACACCGCCCCGUCACACCAUAGUGGGUUUUACCAAGUAGCCUAACCGUAAGGAGGGCGAUUACCGGUAGGAUUCAUGACUGGGGUGAAGUCGUAACAAGGAAGUAG